Molecule: long non-coding RNA, 2784 nt
Organism: Mercenaria mercenaria
Lineage: Eukaryota; Metazoa; Mollusca; Bivalvia; Venerida; Veneridae
Exons: 3
Source: RefSeq, a predicted model, not a curated record
CCAGACUGCGCGGAUGCGCAGGCUGGUCUGGAUCCAUGCUGGUCGCACACCCACUAUGUUGGUUUUCCCAUGGCAUGGCUCAUAUUACUUUUUUAAAUAAAUGCGUUUCAUUUUCCUCAGUUGUUUAUUUCAUUACCCUUACUAUCUAGACUAAAUGUCAUGUAGUUCGCAAGUUAAGGAGUAUGUGUCUUCAUAUGUAAAACAGCAGAGGCAAGGUUUUGACUUGAACGAAUUUCUUCUUUGACUAAUUCAAGGGCCAUGACCCCAGACAACUUAACUAUUCGGCUGUUUAUCGAACUUAGCCAACUUGUUGCACAUUGGAUAGGAACUACUCACAGCGAGAGCGGACAUUGUCAAUUUCGCAAGUUUAAGUAAUUCAUGAAUUAUAUCUCAAGGGAGAUUGAGACUAUCCGACUGGUUUUCGAAAUUGUUCGAGUUGUUAUAUGCAGUGUAGUUAUACCCAUACUCAUUAUGACUAAGAUUGGUGAACACUAGGUAAAAACUUUUUUUAAAAUCAGAGAACGGACACUGUCAAUUUUCGCAAUUUUUAGUAAUUUAAGGACUGUAACUCCACAGCCAUUCAUGAUAUUUUUGUAGUUAACGAAACUGGCGGACAUAUUAUACCAAUACGCAUUAUUAUAUGUUCUAAAAAUAGCUUAAAUUUCAUUGGCCGAAAUCGCUCAUCAUCUUACAAUAUAUAUAUAAUGUUUAAUGGUUGAUGGGUUUCCCAAUUAAACAUAUCUUUCUAAAAAUAGAAUGGAAGAAUGGUGUUACUCCUGCCAAUGAUAACUGGUCAAAAUGCUCCGGUUACAAUCAACUGCAAUAUAUUUCAGCGAUAAGAAACUGCAUACACAAUGAUUCCAGGAAUUUUUAGUGUCUUCAUUUGAACUUUAAUAGGUUUUUACACAGUUAUUAUUACUUUCAAACAACAAAUAUUUGGUACUUAUUCAUAAACCUGAACCCAUAUAAUAAAACAGUUCAAGCCGUCGUCCAUCCUCCCUGUCAUAUGUCCAGUUUUACAGUUGUAUAAAAAGAAUGGCAAAUGAUCAUUUAUAGGAAAUUAUCAGAAGAUUUACUAAGUGCAGAUGCUGUUGUUUUUACUGUUGAAAAGCAGUUUUGACACUUACAAAGACCUAAAGUGAAUAUAGUUUCAUGUUAUAAAUCGAAAUUUUCAACCAAGUUUCUUCCGUACUUUAAUCAGUCUAAGACAUAAAAACUAUAUUAUAAUGUCAAAAGAAAUCUGCCAGUUUGGCAAAUCUACGACAUUCGAUUAUUUUUGACAUUGAAAGGUUUUAUAACAAACAUUUUUAAUACUGUUUGCUAAAACCCAAAUUCAGAUAUUGCAGGAUAAGUAACUCGAGUCGAACGGUAAGUGGUCACUUUUCCUGAGAACGACUGGUGGAUUGUCACUGAUGUGCCUUUUAAAUCAUUACACAAGGACGACACACACACUUUUCUAGCUAAUAAACCACCUUGGAAAUGAACGGUGACAAGGUAAGUCAUGCAACUUAUAUUCAACCUUUAUAUUGUGUAGAGGCAUUAAUGUGUUGUUUCGAAACAGUGGCACGGGGUGAUGCAGAGCAGUGCUAAAAUCGUUUUAUGAACUAAUGAAUUUGUUUAUCGGUGAUGGAACUCAGGUAGGGUUAUCAUAACAGUACCUUGAUCUGCAAUGUUGUAUUCGGCUCUCGUUGAUUUUACCUCCAGGCGCUUUUGCCUACUGAGAUCCGGCCUGGUGAAAUCCACGAGAGCGGAAUGCAUCACUGCAAACUAAGCUACUGUUUAAUGACCCUUUUGUUAUACACAUAUACCUAUUUCUAGUGUUAUCUGAGCCGAAACUGAUAAUUUUAGAUUGAUAAGACCGAAAACUCGUUUGAAACAUGGAACGUCGAGACGCCAUCAUUACGUCAUUUCCGAUUUAAAAAAAUCCAGAACCGAUAGGAGUUGAUGAAUACAGGGUUUUGUAUUCGUUAGUAUAAUACAUGCUAUAUUUGAGACAGAAAAUUCAUAGGUUUAUAAUAAGAACAUCUAUCAAAUUCGAAUGGUUAUAUUUCAUAUGCAUAUUUCAAUUUUUUAAUGUAAGGUUGUCAAAUAUUUCAUUAAGAAAAUAACAUAAUGUAUAUAAGUAUAUUGACAGGCAAAGCUACUACUAUAUAACAGCAUCAGCAACAGCAACAACAUUUACGUCAACAGCGCAGCAUAACAGCCAGUGGGUAUGAAUGAACGAUACAUGUACAUAUAUUUGUCUUAAGGACGCUUUGAAAUAUCUCAAAUUUGAAAUUACAAUAAAAAAUAUUGUACGUAAAGUUCUGUCAUUUUCGACACUCAAAAUAUUUACUAAAGAUAUUUUCUUACUCGGUAUUCAUUUUCAGAACCACCUAAUAAGUUUCCAUGCAAUGUACUAUCGAAAGAGGUGUCUCCGUGGCCGAGUGGUUAAAGUCGCUGACUUCAAAUCACUUGCCCGUCAUCGAUGUGGGUUCGAGCCUCACUCGGGGCGUACAAUUCUUCAUGUGAGGAAGCCAUCCAGUUGGCGUACGGAAGGAGCUGAGAAAAUGUUUAGAAUACCACAAGACAAGGCCAGUAACUCUACACAUGUUAGGAGGCAGAAAACAGACAAGUUAUUUGAACACCAUUGGUCGCAUAUGAUGGAUUUCGUCCAUGACAAUACCUUUUCCCUCGUAUCCUGCUUUGCUUUGUAGCUAGAGUAAACACGCAGGUGUAGCAGACAGAGUUGAAGGGACAUGUGUUCAAAAUAUGACAUUCAAAGCGCAAAGCCAGAGAAGUUCA